RNAcentral lists this ribosomal RNA (577 nucleotides) under Escherichia coli. RNAcentral describes it as "partial 23S ribosomal RNA". It matches the Rfam family "Bacterial large subunit ribosomal RNA", at positions 2259 to 2831 of the family's 2925-position model. The record is from RNAcentral. Lineage: Bacteria; Pseudomonadati; Pseudomonadota; Gammaproteobacteria; Enterobacterales; Enterobacteriaceae.
UGGUGGGUAGUUUGACUGGGGCGGUCUCCUCCUAAAGAGUAACGGAGGAGCACGAAGGUUGGCUAAUCCUGGUCGGACAUCAGGAGGUUAGUGCAAUGGCAUAAGCCAGCUUGACUGCGAGCGUGACGGCGCGAGCAGGUGCGAAAGCAGGUCAUAGUGAUCCGGUGGUUCUGAAUGGAAGGGCCAUCGCUCAACGGAUAAAAGGUACUCCGGGGAUAACAGGCUGAUACCGCCCAAGAGUUCAUAUCGACGGCGGUGUUUGGCACCUCGAUGUCGGCUCAUCACAUCCUGGGGCUGAAGUAGGUCCCAAGGGUAUGGCUGUUCGCCAUUUAAAGUGGUACGCGAGCUGGGUUUAGAACGUCGUGAGACAGUUCGGUCCCUAUCUGCCGUGGGCGCUGGAGAACUGAGGGGGGCUGCUCCUAGUACGAGAGGACCGGAGUGGACGCAUCACUGGUGUUCGGGUUGUCAUGCCAAUGGCACUGCCCGGUAGCUAAAUGCGGAAGAGAUAAGUGCUGAAAGCAUCUAAGCACGAAACUUGCCCCGAGAUGAGUUCUCCCUGACUCCUUGAGAGUCCUGA